UACGUAGGGAGCGAGCGUUGUCCGGAAUCAUUGGGCGUAAAGCGCGCGUAGGCGGUUUGUCACGUCGGGAGUGAAAACUCAGGGCUUAACCCUGAGCCUGCUUCCGAUACGGGCAGACUAAAGGUAUGCAGGGGAGAAUGGAAUUCCUGGUGUAGUGGUGAAAUGCGCAGAUAUCAGGAGGAACACCAGUGGCGAAGGCGGUUCUCUGGGCAUUACCUGACGCUGAGGAGCGAAUGUGUGGGGAGCGAACAGG
This 253-nucleotide ribosomal RNA is filed under the name uncultured Marmoricola sp. Its description in RNAcentral is "partial 16S ribosomal RNA". It matches the Rfam family "Bacterial small subunit ribosomal RNA", at positions 524 to 776 of the family's 1533-position model. The record is from RNAcentral. Lineage: Bacteria; Bacillati; Actinomycetota; Actinomycetes; Propionibacteriales; Nocardioidaceae.